Long non-coding RNA from Phalaenopsis equestris, 795 nucleotides. RefSeq lists it as uncharacterized. The transcript has 4 exons. The record is from RefSeq and is a predicted model, not a curated record. Lineage: Eukaryota; Viridiplantae; Streptophyta; Magnoliopsida; Asparagales; Orchidaceae.
UUUAUACAUUUUCCUCCAACGCAAAUCAUCCCUUUCCUUUCCCUCUACAUUCCCGAUUGGCAACCGCUCUCCCCUGCCACCUUCGUCUCACUGCGAUAUAAGCUGAUAGGAAAGAGAGGACGAACUCUCCUCACCUCACGCUCCUCCUGUAGUCCUCUACCAAAAUCGUUGUCAAUCCCCUCCUCCCCUCCUCUUGGUUCCGCCCAAAACUAUCUCCUGUGCCUUAAACCCUAGCUUCACCGUGUCAUUUGGAGUUAGCAGAGAAGGCAAUGACGGGAUUGUCGGCUGUUUCGCUCCUACCCAAAACCACUGAAAAAGGUCAGUAGAACUCUUUUGAAGUUUGGUUAGCCAGAUCGACGGACCCACAGAGUGUUGAACCUAUAGGAAAUCUUUAGACUUCUUUGGCUUUGUGACAAAUGCCAACCAUCAUACUAUGCGAUUGGAACGGCAACAGAAGGACCACCUUGAAUAAGUACAAGUUUCAUAUGGAAGUUUUCUCUGGAUUAUUGUUCAUCCUUGAAGGAGAUGGAGAAGCCGUGAGGGAGCCACAGCUAGGGAUGUGAAAAUUCUGGCCGGAAAGCUCCGCCGUGGGAAAAGUUUUUGUAUCAGAACACCAUCAGGUGUCCAAUUAAAAUUGAAAAUGCUUGAUCUUGCCUCGAACACCACCAUCAUGUUGAGUCUUUGUUUCGGACCUUGCUAAUGUUAAACACAUUUAAUGAAGUGCUUUAAAAGUACAUAAUGAAGUUUGGGUGUAAAACAUGUGAAUUUUAAUGUUUUCUAUGCUAUGUAUGUAAU